This 391-nucleotide ribosomal RNA is filed under the name uncultured bacterium. Its description in RNAcentral is "bacterial SSU rRNA". It matches the Rfam family "Bacterial small subunit ribosomal RNA", at positions 126 to 507 of the family's 1533-position model. The record is from RNAcentral.
CUACCUUAAAGACUGAAUAAUGUUUGAAACGAGCACUAAUACGGAUGAUUCAUAUUUAGAUAACUAGAUAUGCUAAAAGAAGCGUUUGCUUCACUUUAAGAUGAGCUUGCGGCGUAUUAACUAGUUGGUGGGGUAAUGGCCUACCAAGGUGACGAUGCGUAGCCGAACUGAGAGGUUGAUCGGCCACAUUGGGACUGAGACACGGCCCAAACUCCUACGGGAGGCAGCAGUUAGGAAUAUUCGUCAAUGGGGGGAAACCCUGAACGAGCAAUGCCGCGUGAGUGAUGACGGUCUUUAUGAUUGUAAACUCUGUUGUAAGGAAUGAAACCUUAAGAUAGGAAAUGAUCUUAAGCUGACGGUACCUUACCAGAAAGCCCCGGCUAACUACGUG